Solanum dulcamara is the source of this 575-nucleotide long non-coding RNA. RefSeq lists it as uncharacterized. The transcript has 4 exons. NCBI's taxonomy places the organism in Eukaryota, Viridiplantae, Streptophyta, Magnoliopsida, Solanales, Solanaceae. The record is from RefSeq and is a predicted model, not a curated record.
UUCAAGAGGAAGAAGAGAAGAGAAGCUUGAAGCUAGAGAGAGAGAGAGCUCGAUUUUGGGGGAGAAAAAAAGAGCCCAAAAUGUUACCAAACAGCCCCAAAAUUUUAGCCGCACUACGAAAGCUUCUGAGGCAAGUUUAGACGAGUUUUGGUGAAUUUUGAGCAAGAUUUUUGGGAAGGCCAAGAUUUAAGUGGGAUUGACUAAGGAAGCGGACAAGAUACAGGUGUUAGAGAUCCUCAACAGGCGCAUCGUUGAAGAUCAUUUCUUUUCAGCUAUUUGGUGAGUCCUUCUUGUAUUCGAAGGAACUCCUUAUCCUUUUAUUAUUGUUGAGUGUGAUGUUUCUUUUGAGGUAGCCAUGGACAUGUCAUUGGCACCAUCUAAGAGUAUUAGAGGCUUCAUAGACAGAGUUUGAUGAUGUAAUCGGAGUAGUUCUCCUUAGAAACUACUUCUUCUAAGAAUUAUCUAUUUUUCCUUUGAUUAUGACAAGCUCACAUUAGUAUUAUUAAGUCUUCCGCUGAUGAACAAAUGAGUAAUGAGACCAAGUGGUUCUCUCGGAAGCCAGAGAUGGUUUCUGA